This 493-nucleotide ribosomal RNA is filed under the name Blastocystis hominis. RNAcentral describes it as "bacterial SSU rRNA". It matches the Rfam family "Eukaryotic small subunit ribosomal RNA", at positions 460 to 953 of the family's 1831-position model. Lineage: Eukaryota; Bigyra; Opalinata; Blastocystidae. The record is from RNAcentral.
GGAGGUAGUGACAAUAAAUCUCAAUAAGAAGCCUUUGGUUUUGUAAUUGAAUUGAGAACAAUGUACAAUCGUUAUCGAUAAACAAUUGGAGGGCAAGUCUGGUGCCAGCAGCCGCGGUAAUUCCAGCUCCAAUAGCGUAUAUUAACGUUGUUGCAGUUAAAAAGCUCGUAGUUGAAGUUUAGAUAAUUUAUUGAAAGUGUUUGUAUUCGUACAUUCUACUUUUAUGUAAGUUAUCGACAUCCAGGUGGGUGCCUGAUUCCUUUCCUUCGGGGAUUAGGGUACUAGACUGGUCAUUUACUGUGAGAAAAUUAGAGUGUUUAAAGCGGACUGUUCAGUUUGAAUAAAUUAGCAUGGAAUAAUAAGAUUGGCUUUCAUAGUCGAUUUUUUGGUUUGUUUAUGAAAGCAAGAUUAAUAGGGACAGUUGGGGGUAUUCAUAUUCAAUAGCUAGAGGUGAAAUUCUAUGAUUUAUGGAAGAUGAACAAUGCUAAAAGCA